GGACGGAGUAUUGAGGUUCAUGGUUUUGGCGCCCAUACCGGACGGGGUAUGGGGACGGCCCUAGAAUCAGGUUGUAAAUAUUAAUGGUUCACGUGUAGAGGGGACCCCCUAUGGAUCCCCAGGGAUACUAGUAGGCUGGUAAAAGAGGAAAUCUGUUUCCUAAUGAUUGAAAUGUAAAGGUGUGAUAUAUGUUAUGUUAUAAAGUGUGUAUGAUUUCAUGAUAUUAUAAGGUUAUUGUUUUCAUAUGUUGUUUUCAUGGAUCUCGCCGAGGUAAGUGGAUAGAAAAAGAUUUUAUUACUGAUAAAUGAAUUUGUUAUAAAUGAUGCUCCAUUGGUCAUUUUUGUUUUCUACCCACAUUUACUUCCGUGGCGGUGAGAUAGUGUGAUGUCUUUACUGGGCUGGUGUAGCUCAUUCCUUAUUUAACCAUUUUAGAUCAGGAAGACGUUGUUCCUGAGCCUGUUCCACAGGAAGACGGCGAAAGGGACGUCUAAAGACUUUAUAGUUAUAUUUAUAGUUUUUAUUUCGAGUAUCUCUCUUAGUUAGUCUGUUCCUUCAUGUUUUGAGUACGUUUUGGUUAUUGUGUAAGGGAUGUUAAUCAAAAUUUUUAUUACGCUUCCAUAUUUGACAUUUUUAAUACAUAUAUUUCAUUUAAAUUUCUGAGGCUGUUACAGUUGGUAUCAGAGCCGCGUUCCUCCGACCCUUCCCUUACACAAUAAUGCUUAGAGAAAUAUUCACUGAUAAACCGUUACUCAACCAUUCCUUAUGAAAUGCAGGUGCAGAGAGAUGAGGAGAGGAAGACCCCCACUAAACCAAGCGGCCCGGGAUAAUUCACUUCGGGAGGAUGUAGACAGGUUAUUUGAGAUGAUGGAAGGAUUCAUAGCUGCCCAGCAAGGGCGAGGGGAGAGAUGGGAGUUACUCGACCCUCCUCCACUACCACAGGUUGAGCCUCCGCUACAGCAGGCUGAUCCUGAGCUACCCCGGCACGAGCCUGUUCCUCCACAGUACCACCCGGCACCACUGCCGCAGUACACCCGGUGCCCCAGCCACGGUACUACCCGGCACUGCCACAGCAUGACCCAGUGCCCCCAGCAUAUCAGCAGGUGCCACCACAGGACCCCCCAAUCUAUCCCCAGCCGGGUCCAGUCCCUCCUCCACGGGAUCCCGCUCCUUCCUUGAUCGACCCGGGCUACAUAGAGAGGUACAGGAGACUAAACCCUUCCACCUUUGCAGGAGGAUCCUUUUUUGAAGAUGCCCAGUACUAGCUGGCGGAGACUGAGAGAGCUUUCAGGAUCUUGGGAGUAGUUCCUGAGCAGAGAGCUGCCCUUGCUUCCUUCAUGCUGCUACGGGAAGCAGGACGUUGGUGGGAGCUCAAGCAGACCACCCUGCCUACACCAGUUACUUGGGAGUAGUUCCUAGCGGCCUUCCAUGCGGAGUAUCUCCCUGAGCACCUCCGACACCUAAAGAAAACGGAGUUUGUUCAACUGGUUCAGGGAAACAUGACAGUAUCAGAGUAUGCUCGUAAGUUCCUCGAGCUGGGCCGAUACUCCCCAGAGACAUUGAUGGAUGAGGGCCGAAAGGCCAGGAGAUUCCAGUCGGGUCUCCACCUAGAGAUCAGGCAACACUUGUUAGUACUGGAGCUCAAGACAUAUUCAGCAGUCCUAGCAAAGGGGGCCAAUACUCCCCGGAGACAUUGAUGGAUGAGGGCCGAAAGGCCAGGAGAUUCCAGUCGGGUCUCUGCCUAGAGAUCAGGCAACACUUGUUAGUACUGGAGCUCAAGACAUAUUCAGCAGUCCUAGCAAAGGCACAGAUUGUGGAAAGAAGCUUCAGCACCUGUCCUCAGCUAGGAGGGAGUUCCCGACCCUCAGCUCCGUUCCGCAGGCCUGCACCUACUACGCCUGCCCAACCAAAUAAGAGGCCCAGACCAGCCAUCCAGGCCCCUCCCUCCUCAGGCUCCAGGGGCAACACGUGAAAAAAUCUAUCAACACUGCGGCAGAGAUCAAGGGGACCGACCCUGCUACCGCCUCAACAACACUUGUCGCAUUUGUGGCAGUGCCCAGCAUUAUGCCAGAGAAUGCCCGAGGAACCAGAAUCAAGAGAGGCCUCCUAUCCAGGGUAGAGCUUACAACCUUACCCAGCAGGAUGCCGACGCCGACCCAGAUGUGGUACAGGGUAUGUAUACUAUCUGUGACCAUAUUGCUCAUGUUUUAUUUGACACUGGUGCAUUGCACUCUUUUGUUUCACAUGCUUAUGCUUCUAAAAUUAAUGUAUCACCUAAUAAACUUGAAUCAUUGUUGUUUGUGUCUACUGUCGGGGGUGAAACACUACUAGGGGAAGCUAUCUAUAGGGCUUGUGCCGUAGAGAUAGCAAAUAGAAAACUGAGGGUAGACUUGAUAGGGUUAGACACGGGAGAUUUUGAUGUAAUAUUAGGAAUGGAUUGGCUAGCGGCGUAUCACGCCACCAUAGAUUGCUUUAACAAGAAAGUUGUAUUUAAUCUUCCUAACGAGGAGCUAUUUACAAAUUAAUAAAAUUAUUCAAUACGUAUUCCUUGAUGGCAAGUUUUCUUAACUUCUAGUGCCUUAAUCUUGUUGUUUUCUCUGACUAAGCAAGUCCAAGAAGAAAAUUUGUAUUCAAGAGAUUUCGGUAGUCCGAGACUUCCCAAAUAUGUUUCCGGACGAACUGCUCGGUCUGCCAGUGGACAGAGAAGUCGAGUUCACUAUAGACCUACAGCCAGGCACCUAGCCCAUUUUGGUUGCUCCUUAUCGCAUGAGCCGCAUUGAGAUGGAAGAGCUGAGGAAACAGAUAACUGAAUUGCAAGACAGUGGUUUUAUUAGACAUAGUGUGUCCCCUUGGGGUGCUGGAGUCACUUUUGCAAGGAAAUGAGAUGGAACGUUGAGACUGUGCAUUGAUUACAGAGGAUUAAACAAGGUCACGAUCAAAAACAAGUAUCCCCUUCCCCGGAUUGAUGACCUCUUUGAUCAGCUGCAGGGUGCACAAAUCUUCUCUAAAAUAGACCUACGAUCAGGUUACCAUUAGGUGAAGAUAAGAACAGAAGACAUCCCCAAGACGGCCUUCCGAACUAGGUACGGACACUAUGAGUUCCUGGUCAUGCCUUUCGGGCUAACAAAUGCCUCGGCAAUCUUUAUGGAUCUGAUGAACAGGGUCUUUAGAGAGUUCUUGGAUCAAUUUCUCAUCGUGUUCAUUGAUGAUAUCUUAGUCUACUCAAAAAGCAGAGAAGAACAUGCUCACCAUCUGGCCCAAGUUUUGCAGGUCCUCAGAAACAAGAGGUUAUAUGCGAAGUUGAGUAAGUGUGGAUUCUGGCUUGAGUAGACCGCCUUCUUAGGACACAUCAUAUCGAAGGAAGGGGUAUCAGUGAAUCCUGAAAAGGUUGAAGCGGUACUUGGCUGGGAGAAGCUGACAUCAGUUAAGGAAAUCCGUAGCUUCCUGGGAAUGGCAGGUUAUUACCGUAGGUUCGUUGAAGGAUUCUCUAGUCUAACAGCUCCUCUAACCUGACUCACAAAGAAGAAUGCCAAAUUUGAGUGGAAUGAAGACUGCGAAAGAAGUUUUUCAGAACUAAAGAAGCGGCUGACCACUAUACCCGUGCUGGCUUUACCGAGUGGAUCGGGAGGAUAUACAGUUUAUAGUGAUGCCUCCUAUCUGGGCCUGGGUUGUGUCCUGAUGCAGUAUGGAAAGGUUAGCAUACGGAUCCAGACAGUUAAAGAAUCAUGAGAAGAAUUAUCACACCCAUGACUUGGAGCUUGCCGCAAUCAUUCAUGCCUUGAAAACCUGGCGCCAUUAUUUGUACGGAGAGACCUUUCAGAUCUAUAUCGAUCAUAAGAGUUUGAAACACAUAUUCACUCAGAAGGAUCUCAACAUGCGUUAGAGAAGGUGGAUGGAACUCUUUAAGGACUAUGAUUGUGACAUCUUAUACCAUCCGGGUAAGGGCAACAUGGUAGCAGAUGCCCUCAGUAGGAAAAGUGCAGGUAUCUUAGCCCAUUUGAUCUUUCAGAAUGCAGACCAAUUGGGGCCACGCAACAGGUUCGACUUCAUGAUCUGAAGAGAGUCACAUGUUUGGGCCGCCUGACAGUCCAGCCCGAGUUAAUCCAGAGAAUAAGGGAAGCCCAGACAGUUGACCCCGCCCUGGUAGCCCGCAGGAAGGAUGCAGAACAGGGAGGGAGCUCAGAAUUCCGAAUCUCUACCGAUGGAUUACUUCGUUUCCAAGACAGGGUGUGUGUCCCAAAUGACAGUGAGUUAAAAAGGGACAUCAUGAUGGAGUCCCAUAGCUUGAAGUUUGCCAUGCAUCCAGGAAGCACCAAAAUGUACCAAAGCAUGCGACCCCGGUUUUGGUGGCAUGGGAUGUAGAGAGACAUAGCCGACUUUGUAUCUAAAUGCUUGGUAUGUCAGCAGGUCAAGGUAGAGCAUCAGCGCCCAGGUGGGUUACUUCAGCCUUUACCGAUCCUGGAGUGAAAGUGGGAACAUAUCACCAUGGACUUCGUAUCGGGGCUACCCAAGGCACGUUCAGGACAUGAUGCCAUAUGGGUAAUCGUUGACCGGCUUACCAAGUCUUCCCACUUCCUAGCCAUCAGGAUGACCGAUUCAUUGGACAAGUUGGCAAGGAUGUAUAUCCGGGAGAUAGUCAGAUUGCAUGGAGUUUCAGUGACAUAGUGUCUGACAGGGAUCCCAGGUUCACUUCUCGGUUUUGGAGUAGCUUCUAGCAAGCUAUGGGAACAAAGCUGUCUCUUAGUACUGCCUUCCAUCCCCAUACUGAUGGACAAUCAGAAAGGACAAUUCGUACGCUUGAGGAUAUGCUCCGAGCUUGUGUCCUUGACUCCGGGGGCCAUUGGGAUGACCAUCUGCCCCUGAUAGAGUUUGCCUACAACAACAGCUACCAAGCAAGCAUUGGCAUGGCUCCAUAUGAGGCGUUAUAUGGGUGCCCGUGCAGAUUGCCGAUUUGCUGGGAAGAAGUGGGAGAUAGAAGAUUGUUCGGCCUGGAGUUGGUAGAGGAGACCACGUCCAAGAUAGUUAAAAUCAAGAAGAACAUUUAGACAGCUCAGAGUAGGCAGAAGAGUUAUGCAGAUACCCGGAGGAGAGACCUAGCGUUUGAGAAAGGCGACCGGGUGUUUCUUAAGGUCACUCCUUUCAAGGGAAUUAGUAAGUUCGGCAGGAGGAGAAAAUUAAACCCCCGAUAUAUUGGACCCUUUAAAAUCUUAGACAGGAUUGGUACUGUUGCCUGUAGACUAGCAUUGCCUCCAGAGCUCUCCAGAGUCCACAACGUGUUCCACGUAUCCAUGCAACGUAAGUACAACAUGGACCCUUCUCAUGUCUUGGCUUAUGAACCGCUUCUACUCCAAGAGAACUUGUCUUAUGAAAAAGUACCAGUCGGUAUCACGGACUGAAAGAACAGAAUACUCCGCAAACGGGAAAUAUCAUUUGUAAAGGUCAUGUGGCAAAACCACACGCCCAGGGAGGCUACUUGGGAGCUAGAAUCAGAAUUUAGAGCCCAGUAUCUCCAUUUGUUCGACCAAGAGUAAAAGGCAAAUUUGGGGGACCAAAUUUCUUUAAGGGGGGGAGAGUUGUAACACCCCAAGUGUUAUUAUUAUUAUUUUUUAUUUUAUUUUGUAAUUAAUUGAUUUUUUUUUUAUUUUUAAUUAAUUUAAUUUGAUUUAAUUUAAUCUAAUUUCAUGAAAAUAAAAAUAAUAAUAAUGAUAAAAUUAGGUAAAAAUAUUAUUUAGAUUUAAUUGAAAUUGAUUUUGGGAAAAAGGGGUGAAAAUUUGGAUUCUAGGGGUGUUUUUGAAAAGAAAAUCAGAAACCAAUGGUCAAAACGCAAUUUAGAAAAGUUGUGCCACGUCAGCAGCCACAUCGGCGGCCCGGUCAGCAGCCCUGGCCAACCAGGAUGCGCCGCGUGGCAAGGAAACACUGACCAGGGGACGGGCCACGUGGGCGAUCCGCGUGCGCGCGAUCGGACGGCCCAGAUCCUUUCCCGCGCGCACGGACGGCACAGAUCAAACGUGCGCACGGACGGCCCAAAUUCACGCGCUCGGACGGCCCAGAUUCAAUCAGGCACGGACGGCCUAGAUUGCAUCACGAUAGACGGCCCAGAUUUAAUCCCAAUUAAAUCACGAUCGAACGGUCCAGAUUUAAUCUUGAUGGAUGGUUGAGAUUAAAAGGCAAAGGGUAUAAAUAACCCCACCCACACCUGACCACAAAAACCCUAGCCGCCAGUGCCUCGCCGGAGAAGAAGAACCAGAUGCCGGAGGAGCCGACCGCCGCCACCCGCUGCCGCAUCGGGGAAGUUUUCGACCGCCGAUCGAGGUUAAUUUUCUCCCCCUUGCUCGUUUUUCGAUGUUGAGUCCCUCUAUGGCCAAACCACUGGCCAAACGGCCGAAAAACCCAACCGAAGCCCAGCGGCGCCGCCGCGCCCCUCCUCGGUUUUUGCCUCCGAUGAGGCCCUUCCCGGCCUCCGUUCGAUGCAAAUUUUAUACCACUGUGAUCACCGUUCUUUUCUCUACAGGUUGAUCGGAGCCAAACAUCAAAAUGCGACUCACGCCGGAGGAGCCCCCCGCACCCAAGAGCACCGCCGCCUGUAAGUUUUGGUUUUUUGUGAUUUUUUGGCCCACCGAGGGCCCUAGGGUUGUUUUAUCGCAGAGACCGAUGCGAAUGUGGCCAAAUUCGACCAAAAACGGCCAACCUGAGGUGAAUCACCGCCGCGAGCGACGGUGCCUUCACCGGAGCAUGGCGGAGCUGCUGUGCCGAAAUUGCGAUAUUGGCCAAAAGGGGCCCUAGGUCUGAUUUUGGAUUUUUUGGGACACGUGCAGGUACCGGUAGUGCGUUUCAGUUUCUCGGGAAAAAUUCAGGGAAAUUAGGGACAAACUGUAGGCGCACUGUAGAGCCGAAUUCAUACCCCGAAACGAGUAAGGACCCCUCACCCUAUUUCCUAUCACGGUAUUAAAGCUACAUAAAAAAUUAAACUGUACUGUGUGACUUUAUAGAUGUAUAAUUGAUUAAGGUUGCCAGUGGAACCCGAAUCUGAUACAGUGUUUUCUGUUAUUGUUUGAUCUAAUUUUCAGUAUUAAAUGCAGCAUAAUGUUUGAUGUAAUUAUGUUAUGGUCUCGUAUGCAUGAAUCAUGAUUUCUUUUAUUAUGGUGAACCCGAUACUGUGUUGUCUUGUUUGGUGUCCAUUACUGGUUUACAUGUUGUGUGUGAUUAGAUUAUUGAAACAAAGAAAAAAGACAAAAAGAUUAUGUGAAUUAAUAAGUGGAUAAUGUGGACAACCUGACUAGAUAUCCUGGGAGAUGGUGGACGGACCGGAUCCGUAAGGAACCCUAUCGGGAACGUGGUCUCUCAUACCGGACGAGGUAUGGAGACCUUAUGUGUUUUGGCGCCCAUACCAGACGGGGUAUGGGGACGGCCCUGGAAUCAGGUUGUAAAUGUUAAUGGUUCACGUGUAGAAGGGACCCCUUAUGGAUCCCCAGGGAUACUAGUAGGCUGGUAAAAGAGGAAAUAUAUUUCCUGAUGAUUAAAAUAUAAAGGUGUGAUAUAUGUUAUGUUAUAAAGUGUGUAUGAUUUCAUGAUAUUAUAAGGUUAUUAUUUUCAUAUGUUGUUUUCAUGGAUCUCGCCGAGGUAAGUGGACA
RNAcentral lists this long non-coding RNA (7628 nucleotides) under Carica papaya (papaya). Its description in RNAcentral is "long non-coding RNA (CPAP_LNC016120)". The record is from RNAcentral. Lineage: Eukaryota; Viridiplantae; Streptophyta; Magnoliopsida; Brassicales; Caricaceae.